AUGGGCCGGAGGGGUGGAGCGCACGCUCUUCUGCGCGGGACCGAUUUCUCUCCGCGUGUUUCUGACGCGUCGUGGGAUGCCGGCACAGAUCCGUGGUCGGUUCCUUCUUUCUGCUCGUGGGGUUCCGCGUACGGACGCGCCACGGCUCUGCCCAGCCUCCUUCCCGUCUGGGAGCCGAUGAAAACCAUAACAAGGAUGUCGUGUAUCUCCUCGGGCCAUCUCUGUGUAGACACAGGCUUUCGUAACACGGGCGGGAUUGCGGCCUGCACACCCGUCUCUGUGCGACAUGCCCUUUCCCCGAUUCCGCCUCAUAGCCAGGCCCGUUCUCAAGUCCGGGACGUGGGUCCCCACGCAGGAGUGGUGUGUGGUGAGCCCGUCACGUCUGACACUUGGGGUUCCAGAGACCAGAGCUGGAGAUCCAGACUUCCCUUAGAGGCUGCUUCCGGAAGCACUGAGGGCCGAACUCUCUGUCUCCUGGGACCAUUUCCACGUGAGCUACUCGCUGGACUCACAGAUAGGACUGAAAUUGUAGCAAUGCGACCGGAUCGUCAUCAACAUAGAGCCUUAUCAGCGAGGCAAUGACAACAAGCCUGCAGGGCUGAUGGGCCAUCUGGAGUUGGGUAACGUAGCACGUAUUGAUUUUGGAUCAGCCGAGAUGCAGGUUAAUGACUGUUUUUGUUUCUGUCCCAAAGCAGCUUGCGUUAUGCUUACGAAAUAAACAUAAUAUGCAAUUUCUGCA
Molecule: long non-coding RNA, 739 nt
Filed under: Felis catus (domestic cat)
Lineage: Eukaryota; Metazoa; Chordata; Mammalia; Carnivora; Felidae
Description: lncRNA (ENSFCAG00000050173.1)
Source: RNAcentral